CGCUGGCGGCGUGCUUAACACAUGCAAGUCGAACGGUGACGAGGAGCUUGCUCCUCCGAUCAGCGGCGAACGGGUGAGUAACACGUGAGCAACCUGCCCCAGACUCUGGGAUAACAGUUGGAAACAGCUGCUAAUACCGGAUACGAGACGGAGAGGCAUCUCUACCGUCUGGAAAGUUUUUCGGUCUGGGAUGGACUCGCGGCCUAUCAGCUAGUUGGUGAGGUAAUGGCUCACCAAGGCGACGACGGGUAGCCGGCCUGAGAGGGCGACCGGCCACACUGGGACUGAGACACGGCCCAGACUCCUACGGGAGGCAGCAGUGGGGAAUAUUGCACAAUGGGCGAAAGCCUGAUGCAGCGACGCCGCGUGAGGGAUGACGGCCUUCGGGUUGUAAACCUCUUUCAGCAGGGAAGAAGCGCAAGUGACGGUACCUGCAGAAGAAGCACCGGCUAACUACGUG
Molecule: ribosomal RNA, 460 nt
Filed under: uncultured bacterium
Lineage: Bacteria
Description: bacterial SSU rRNA
Rfam family: Bacterial small subunit ribosomal RNA
Source: RNAcentral